Hevea brasiliensis (rubber tree) is the source of this 1320-nucleotide long non-coding RNA. RefSeq lists it as uncharacterized. The transcript is spliced from 4 exons. Lineage: Eukaryota; Viridiplantae; Streptophyta; Magnoliopsida; Malpighiales; Euphorbiaceae. The record is from RefSeq and is a predicted model, not a curated record.
UCACCCAUUCGCCUUCACUCCUCAUUGCAUUUAUUUAUUAUCAUAUCACUUUUAUUUUGAUUGUCUAAUGGCAUAAAAAAAAAUGGAAGAUAAUGAGGCACAGAGAAGAGGAGGACAAAAAAAGACAUGAUAGAGUAUUUUCUAAUGAGUAAGGACUAGCUAGAUUACAGUUGGUGAGGUUCCAAUGAGAACUCUACUACACUUUAAACUUCUAGAGAAAUAUUAGGAUUUAAAUGAACUGCUAGAUUUUAGCAAGGAAACAUAUUACCCAUUCUCUUUGUUGGAAUCUGAAUGAUGAUGAAGGAAUCAAUAAGUAUUUUGCUGCAUUCCACUUGUAUGAUAAAUUUCCAGUUGCAGUGGUUAUUGAUGAUUUUGGAGACUUUUUCGUAGAAAGGUACUCGCUUUCUUGUAAAUUAUUUCUCCAUCUCUCGUAGUUCAUAGUGUGAGAUUAUAUUAUUACCACGUUCAUAUUUUCUUGUAAAUUCUUUUUGUUUGUCUUUUACUUGCAAAAUUUUCUAAGGAGCUGCCAGGAGACCAUAUAUCAGAAUCCUCGCGGAAGAGACUUAGCAAUAGUUCGGAUUCUCGUGGUUCUCAGCUAACAUCUUUUUAAGCUGUUUGAACAGUGAGAAAGGUCACUGCAAGCUUCUGCUUUCUGAUACCCGCCAUGGAGACUGCCCAAGGUUGCUUUUCGUCUAUAAAAGGUGGGUUCCAUCCAUUUUCACCAUCAAAGGUUGCACCAGAGUAAAACCUGUGAUUUGUGGUCCAGUGCAUCAAAAAUUAAUCUGUGCUCGAUGAAACAAACAUACAACUUCCAUAGUAUCACAGGACACAUUUCAACAUCAGUAGCUUCCCCUCCUAUUGUCUAUCAAGCUUCAGCUGGGAAAACACCGAUCGAGUAAAACAAGCAUCCAAAGUUAUAUUGCUAAAUUUCAUGUCACUUUACAAUUUGGUGAUCAAAGAAACUUGGAGGUCAUGGAGCUGUAACAGACUUUUGAAGCAUCAUAGGCAGCUGCUGCAUUUUCUUUGACCGGUGGGGAUCUGCAGGGAUGGACCUCCAUGGCAAGGCCAAGUUUUUGGCGGUACUUACAAUAGGAGAGAAGAGUGCCUGCAUUUUCUGUGGAUGGUGUUUGAAGUUGAAGUUCCGGAAGAAGAAGAUCCAAAUUACAAAUGUUAGUGUGAAAAUCAAUAAUAGAAUGGGUAAGGUCUAUUUUUCCGUUUGACCAGGGUGGUGCGGUGAAGCUUUGAGAGCCUUGGAUAUUAUGCCAUUGACACGACUGCGUUUCAUUUUAUGUCAACUUUGGAUCUCGUUUAUUUAGUUUA